Myodes glareolus (Bank vole) is the source of this 1085-nucleotide long non-coding RNA. RefSeq lists it as uncharacterized. The record is from RefSeq and is a predicted model, not a curated record. NCBI's taxonomy places the organism in Eukaryota, Metazoa, Chordata, Mammalia, Rodentia, Cricetidae.
CUGUGCUGACAGCACGUGUGGUCACUCAGUAAUGCAGCGUCAUUCAUCAGGAAACCAGCACUGGAGGACGGCACUCGGGAAGCGUUGCUGAGACAUUGUUUGUGGGAAAAAAGCUCGAUGAACUUUUUGGAGGCCAGAGGCUGCUGGGUAAUAAAGUCUACCCCAGACAGUUUUUGCAAUUGACCUUCAUCAGCUAACGGGAAGACUGCGAAGAAAACUCCGGUUUCAACACACUCCAGGAUUCUUCUAGUCUACUUGAUGGCUGGAGACAGUAGCAAGGGAGCCUGGGAUUCAUAAAAAUGAGAAGAAUAAGCUUGGAUAAGCUGAAAAUGCUCCAGGCUGUCCUGUGUCUACAGCUGGCUCCAUUCAAUCGUGGAUGGACCCAUUACUGCUGGGCAGACUCAUUACUGCUGGGCAGUGAGCUGCACGCCUGUAGCUAUGCUGUGGAGAGCCUGAAUGACCCCCUGUAAGGAUGCCAAGAAGGAGGGACACUACGCCAGGGGACAUUCUCACCUCUGCUCCCACAGGCUGUCUUCUGGCUAUUGAGUCUUUGAUCCGUGUAAAGGAAACUUGGACCAAGGAAUACAAACUGUUUUCAUUGAAAACAAGCUGGUCAAGCUGUUCAGUCUGCCCAGACAUGAAUCACUGGCAGUUAAAGCCAGGCUAAAGGUAAUAAUAUUGCUGAAAUAGAGCCUUUUAAGGCAAGUGUUUAACAAAAGCAGUAAUGAUUGGUAUUGGGUAGCGGUGAUGGUGGGUGGUCCCUAUAGCAAGAAUUACAGAUGGGAAACCUGAAAGCCACAUGUGUCUUAUUAGCCCCGUGUGCAGUAUCUUUAAAAAUGAUUAGCUAGUGGAUUUUAAAAUGAAAUUUCUGAUUUCGGUUGAAAAAAUUUGCCACAUGGCCUGGAAUGUAAAAGAAAUAAGGCUCCCCACUUCUUUAUUUCCCUAUAUCCUGGCCCAAGGGGCACAGGGUUGCAACUCCUGUCCCUUAGAGUUUUGAGCCAUCUUUUAGAAUAUAUUAGAAGAUAUUAAAGAAACAAUUAAUUAUAGCUUGAAAAUAAUUUUUAAAGAAAUAAAGAGGGGCUGGA